RNAcentral lists this transfer RNA (89 nucleotides) under Chitinophagaceae bacterium. RNAcentral describes it as "tRNA-Ser". It matches the Rfam family "tRNA". From Rfam's summary of the family: Transfer RNA (tRNA) molecules are approximately 80 nucleotides in length. The record is from RNAcentral. Lineage: Bacteria; Pseudomonadati; Bacteroidota; Chitinophagia; Chitinophagales; Chitinophagaceae.
GGUGAGGUGGAUGAGUGGCUGAAAUCACCGGUUUGCUAAACCGACGUACGGGUCAAACCGUACCGGGGGUUCGAAUCCCCCCCUCACCG